AAUAUAACAUUAGAUUAGAGAGACCCUCCCCAUGUUCUAGACCUAACAAAAAUCAGAGAAAGACCGAAAACAAUCAGAAGCUCCCUUUUCUAAAAAAAACAGAGUAACAUCAACCCAGCUCCCUCUUCAACAAAGAGCCAGAAACGGACCCUCCCUCUUUAGCAAGAAAAAGCCAACGCCUUCCCCUCCCCAUUCUUAUCAUUCUCUUUCCAUCAAAUUAAAAAGAAACACACACAAGAGAAAUGGUCAAAUUCAAAAUAAAAAUGAAAGAAAAAACAAAAAAAUAAAGGGUUUGAACGUUGUUUGAAUUUCUGCUCUUUGGCUUCAAGUUUUCUGAAAUUUCGAGUGCCAUUUAGGUUGAAGAAGCUUUGUUUGGUCGACGGAUCUGUUGCUGAUGUUUUGCUGAGUCCGUAUGCUGUUUGUUUCAACUGAGCUCCAUCUUUCAUGGAUUUGCCUUUAGUUGGUCAUUUGGAUUCCAUUUGCGAAUAUUAGUUUGAAUCUGGUAGUUUACCAGGAAGAAUAUAGUCUCCAGUGGUGUAAGACUCCUGCAAGUGAUGAAAUGGAUACCAUGUAAAAGAUAAGAGAUGACGAGAUAGGAUUCUGUUUUUUUUUUGCUAAACGUGUGACAAAAUCAUACAGUAGACAUAUAAUUGAUACCUUAGUAAUGGCUUAUGGGAAUAGUAGGUUAACUUCUAGGAUGACUUUCACAUAUAAUAAGACAGUGUUGCAUUUAUGAAUAAGAUGAUCUUAUUCAUUUCCUUGCGUA
This is a long non-coding RNA of Nicotiana tabacum (common tobacco), 766 nucleotides long. RefSeq lists it as uncharacterized. The record is from RefSeq and is a predicted model, not a curated record. Lineage: Eukaryota; Viridiplantae; Streptophyta; Magnoliopsida; Solanales; Solanaceae.